AGUUAAAGGGCCGCGGUAUUCUGACCGUGCGAAGGUAGCAUAAUCAUUAGUCUUUUAAUUGGAGGCUUGUAUGAAUGGUCGGACAAAAAGCAAGCUGUCUCAAUUAUAUUAUUUGAAUUUAACUUUUAAGUGAAAAGGCUUAAAUAAACUAAAGGGACGAUAAGACCCUAUAAAGCUUUACAAUUAUUUAAUUAAAUUAUAAAUUGUUGGUUUAACUUGAUUUAAUUAAUAUUUGUUUCGUUGGGGCGACGAGAAUAAAAUUAAGGUAACUGUUCUUUUAUAGGUAGUCACAAAUUUGUUUGGGUAAAAAUUGAUCCUUUAUUAAAGAUCAAAAGAUUAAGUUACUUUAGGGAUAACAGCGUAAUCUUCUUUGAGAGUUCAUAUCGACAAGAAGGGUUGCGACCUCGAUGUUGAAUUAAAGUAUCCUUGUGGUGUAGCAGUUACAAAGGAGGGUCUGUUCGACCUUUAAUUCUUUACUGAUC
Molecule: ribosomal RNA, 482 nt
Filed under: Metapenaeopsis stridulans
Lineage: Eukaryota; Metazoa; Arthropoda; Malacostraca; Decapoda; Penaeidae
Description: partial large subunit ribosomal RNA
Rfam family: Bacterial large subunit ribosomal RNA
Source: RNAcentral